GUGCCAGCCGCCGCGGUAAUACCGGCAGCACGAGUGAUGACCGAUAUUAUUGGGCCUAAAGCGUCCGUAGCUGGCUGCGCGAGUCCGUCGGGAAAUCCACUCGCCCAACGAGUAGGCGUCCGAUGGAAACUGCACAGCUUGGGACCGGAAGGCUCGAAGGGUACGUUCGGGGUAGGAGUGAAAUCCCAUAAUCCCGCACGGACCACCGAUGGCGAAAGCACUUCGAGAAAACGGAUCCGACAGUGAGGGACGAAAGCCAGGGUCUCCAACCGGAUUAGAAACCCCAGUAGUCC
RNAcentral lists this ribosomal RNA (293 nucleotides) under uncultured bacterium. RNAcentral's name for it is "partial 16S ribosomal RNA". It matches the Rfam family "Archaeal small subunit ribosomal RNA", at positions 455 to 747 of the family's 1478-position model. The record is from RNAcentral.